UCUCGUAUCGGUUCACGAGUCCUGUGACGUCUUUCUGUUGAUGUUCAAUGAUGGAGAAUCUUCAGAGAAUCGCUUUUCAUGGAUGAGCAUCAAAACACAGAAAAACUCUUUCAGAUAAACUCUAGACAUGUUUCAGUGAUCUGCAUUGUGUUGAAUGAAUGGAAAUGCUUCAUAUGUGUUUCUUCUGGUUUUAGUGCUGAUGUCCUUCAUCCACGCUGGACUCACUCAAGAGAGACCCAAACCUGUAGCUCGUGUUGAUCCUGAUAGACGUGUGUUCAGAGGAGAGACGGUCACUCUCACAUGUCACAUACAGCAGACAGGAGUCUGGCAGUACAGCUGGUAUAAAUACAACACACAAGUUUACAGAGCAAGACAAAACCAGAACUAUAUAAUCUCAUCUGUGGAUUGGUCUCAUGGUGGUGUGUACAGCUGUAGAGGAUCUCAGUCAGAAGCUCAAGGUUACUCACCGUACAGUGCUGGAGUUAUACUGACAGUAUCAGAUAAACCACGACCGACUCUGACUGUAAAUCCUGAGAGUUCAGUGUUCACUGGAGACACAGUUACUCUGAGCUGUGAUGUGGGACAGUUAACUGGAUGGACAAUUAUCUGGAGAAAAGACUCAAACACUGACUCCACGGGUGAUGCAACUAAAACAAUCAGGUCUGUGAGCGUCUCUGAUGGAGGAAGAUACCAAUGUAGAGCAAAACGAGGAAACUACUACAGCGAGUACAGUAAUGCAGCUGAGAUAACAGUAAAAGAGAGACCCAAACCUGUAGCUCGUGUUGAUCCUGAUAGACGUGUGUUCAGAGGAGAGACGGUCACUCUCACAUGUCACAUACAGCAGACAGGAGUCUGGCGGUACAGCUGGAAUAAAGACAACAAACUUUACAGAGCAGGACAAAACCAGAACUAUAUAAUCUCAUCUGUGGAUCCGUCUCAUGGUGGUGUGUACAGCUGUAGAGGAACUCAGUCAGAAGCACCAACACACACACAGAUGAGUGACGGAGUUACACUGACAGUAUCAGAUUUACCCAGAUCUACACUGACUGUGACACCAGACAGUCCUGUAUUCACUGGAGAGACAGUCACUCUGACCUGUGUUAUAGAGUCUAAUCACAGUGACUGGAGAUAUGAGUGGCAUAAAGACAGUGUAAUGUUACAGACGUCUGAUGGUUACACUGUAAACAGAGACACUCUCACUAUCAGAGGAGCGAAUGAGUCUGAUCAGGGUCAGUACUGGUGUAGAGGACAGAUAAGAUCAGUCUCAUCACAAUCAAGCUCUGUUUCUCUCUCUGUGACGGAUGGUGAUGUGAUUCUGGGGAGUUCUGUUGAUCCUGUGAUUGAGGGAGAUACUCUGACUCUACACUGUUUACAUCGAUCUACAAACUCCCCGAUCCUCGGAGCUGAUUUCUAUAAAGACAGAUCACUCGUCCAGAAUCAGACGACAGGAGAGAUGAACAUCACGACUGUCUCAAAGUCACAUGAGGGUUUCUACUCCUGUAAAACAGAGAGAGGAGCGUCACCCAAGAGCUGGAUCUCAGUCAGAGGUCAGAUUUCUGUCUUCAGCAUCCUCAGUUUUCUUCUGGCAGCUUGUCCGUAUCUGCUGGCGACAGUCGUGCUGCUGUUCAAAUGCUGCAGAGCGAGAUGUAACACUUCUGUCUGAUCCGUCUCUCCUCUGAGUGUCUUUUCUCAAACCAUUCACAUUCACUGACAGACAGACCUUUACUCUCUUUAUGUUAGAGAUCAAUAUUCACAACAGAUGGUGUUACAUCUACUCAAGACCACAGCCAGUACGGUGUAACGGAGUAACAGAGGAAGAAACUUCAACCUGAUAUUUCAUCUAUUCUUCAAACACAAGAACAGACACAUGUUCACACUUUCACACAUACGGAUGAUUUAGAGUCUCUGAUUCACCUGUGCUGUGUAUUAGACUCCGAGAGAAACCAAACCAACACAUGGAGAACAGCAAACCCACACAGAAAGACCUCCGGACUCAUCAUCAUCUACUUUAAAUAGAGUUUCUUAAUGUGUGUCAAAUUCACUGUAAGCUAUUGAAAGUUUCCCUUUAAAGUCACUCAAGGAACAAACGAAACUCUUAAAAAAAAUUAAAAUACAGCAGUUUAUAACUCCUUCUACAUGAAUGAAAUGAGAAAUCUUCAAACUGAUGAAAUAUCAGGACAAAGAGAUUUUUACAGUUUUAACUUGAUUGUCAAUAAAAGCUGAGACAGAGAUAUCACUAAUAUCAGAUAUAUUAUAAUUGUAUUGAAUGUGAGGAACAGGUUAUGACUCUUUAAGUGAACAGAUCUCAACAAGAACAAAUAAAGUUUACUACAAACAACUAACAACGAUUAUAUUAAUAAUAUCAAAUUACGUCUCAACAACAUGUAUUUUGUUCAUGAUACUCUUUUAUGUUAAACAAUUUUGCUGAGACUUCAUCUACGUGAUAGUUUAUAUUUUUUUAGCAAGUAAAAGGAGUUUUAGUAUAAUUCUUAAAAUGAUAUUUCAUUGUGAAAUCUUCACUGAUUUUAAAAUAAUUUAGGUAGGACACUGAUAAUCUGGCAAUUAGAUGUUUUAAUGAAAAUGAUCUCAAACUUGAUUUUUUCCGCUAUAUUGAUAUUGUGCUCUGCUUUUGCACUGUCUGCAGUGAUGUCACACCGAGGCAAAAGCCAGAAACUUCCACAUUAUAUAGUGCUGAUCACCAUUUACAGAAUAACAUCUGUAUAAAAUCUAGUGAUCGUUGGCUAGGCUACAACCUCUAUGGAUUUUAUCGAUUUACAAGAAAAGGAAGGAAAAGGAUUUAAUUGCGAACAGUUAUUGAUUUUAUGUGUGAUAAGAUAUCACGGCAUUUGAGUCCUCACGUACAGAAGUGUGCAGAGUCAAUAAUCUGCACUAUAUGUGGGUCAUUCUACAGAAACAUCCACUUUUCUGUCCCUAGACUUUAAAGAAAUAUUACAAUUGAAAUACACAUUAGGGUUACAAUUUUUUUAUAUUUUAAAAUGAAACAAUAUGUCAUUUGAACAAUUACACCUUCCAGAGCCAUCAAUGUGGCAUUAUAUUUUAUUUUUAUUAAUUAUAUAGAAUUCCAAACACCACAAAACUGCUCGUCCCCACAGCCAUGUACAGCAGGAAAGUGCUUUAUUUUGAGGUCAAAAACAGAAUUUUCUACCAUUUAAAAUAAAAAACUGAAUUCAUAACUAUCAAAUAUAUGAUAUAAAUGGCAUAAUAAAACAAAAUGCCAAAAAAAAUAUUAUAAAAUAUAUAAUGAAAAUAGUGGUCCCCUGGAGUUGUGUCACUGGUGUAAGUCUUUUAUUUUGGAAUAAAAAAAAAUACAAAUAAAAAAAUCACACUGAUGACAUCACUCAACUUCCUCCUUCCUAUUUUCUAAACAUCUGUGAAAAAAGUCCCAUGUUUAGUCCACUGUUUCUUUUCAGUUAUGAGAAAUUUUCUCAUUUAUCUCAUGAUUUCAUAUGAAGCUUUUAGUUGAUGUCACUGGUAUGACCUAUUUAUUGUUAGGGAAAUGUAAAAAAAAAA
Onychostoma macrolepis is the source of this 3531-nucleotide RNA transcript. It is a transcript of the gene named carcinoembryonic antigen-related cell adhesion molecule 5-like, with no coding region annotated. The record is from RefSeq and is a predicted model, not a curated record. Lineage: Eukaryota; Metazoa; Chordata; Actinopteri; Cypriniformes; Cyprinidae. The transcript is spliced from 8 exons.